AUUGAACGCUGGCGGCAGGCCUAACACAUGCACGUCGAACGAGUGGCGGACGGGUGAGUAAUGUCUGAGAAACUGCCUGAUGGAGGGGGAUAACUACUGGAAACGGUAGCUAAUACCGCAUACCAUCAGAUGUGCCCAGAUUGGCUUAGCUGGUUGGUGGGGUAACGGCUCACCAAGGCGACGAUCCCUAGCUGGUCUGAGAGGAUGACCGGCAACACUGGAACUGGGACACGGUCCAGACUCCUACGGGAGGCAGCAGUGGGGAAGAGUGAACAAUGGGCGCAAGCCUGAUGCAGCCAUGCCGCGUGUAUGAAGAAGGCCUUCGGGUUGUAAAGGACUUUCAGCGGGGAGGCGUUACCCGCAGAAGAAGCACCGGCUAACUCCGUGCCAGCAGCCGCGGUAAUUC
Molecule: ribosomal RNA, 406 nt
Filed under: uncultured bacterium
Lineage: Bacteria
Description: partial 16S ribosomal RNA
Rfam family: Bacterial small subunit ribosomal RNA
Source: RNAcentral